RNAcentral lists this ribosomal RNA (2923 nucleotides) under Klebsiella pneumoniae. RNAcentral's name for it is "23S ribosomal RNA". It matches the Rfam family "Bacterial large subunit ribosomal RNA". The record is from RNAcentral. Lineage: Bacteria; Pseudomonadati; Pseudomonadota; Gammaproteobacteria; Enterobacterales; Enterobacteriaceae.
GGGUUGUGAGGUUAAGCGACUAAGCGUACACGGUGGAUGCCCUGGCAGUCAGAGGCGAUGAAGGACGUGCUAAUCUGCGAAAAGCGUCGGUAAGGUGAUAUGAACCGUUAUAGCCGGCGAUGUCCGAAUGGGGAAACCCAGUGCAAUUCGUUGCACUAUCGUUAACUGAAUACAUAGGUUAACGAGGCGAACCGGGGGAACUGAAACAUCUAAGUACCCCGAGGAAAAGAAAUCAACCGAGAUUCCCCCAGUAGCGGCGAGCGAACGGGGAGCAGCCCAGAGUCUGAAUCAGCUUGUGUGUUAGUGGAACGGUCUGGAAAGUCCGACGGUACAGGGUGAUAGUCCCGUACACCAAAAUGCACAGGCUGUGAACUCGAAGAGUAGGGCGGGACACGUGGUAUCCUGUCUGAAUAUGGGGGGACCAUCCUCCAAGGCUAAAUACUCCUGACUGACCGAUAGUGAACCAGUACCGUGAGGGAAAGGCGAAAAGAACCCCGGCGAGGGGAGUGAAAAAGAACCUGAAACCGUGUACGUACAAGCAGUGGGAGCACCUUCGGGUGUGACUGCGUACCUUUUGUAUAAUGGGUCAGCGACUUAUAUUCUGUAGCAAGGUUAACCGUAUAGGGGAGCCGCAGGGAAACCGAGUCUUAACUGGGCGUUAAGUUGCAGGGUAUAGACCCGAAACCCGGUGAUCUAGCCAUGGGCAGGUUGAAGGUUGGGUAACACUAACUGGAGGACCGAACCGACUAAUGUUGAAAAAUUAGCGGAUGACUUGUGGCUGGGGGUGAAAGGCCAAUCAAACCGGGAGAUAGCUGGUUCUCCCCGAAAGCUAUUUAGGUAGCGCCUCGUGAAUUCAUCUUCGGGGGUAGAGCACUGUUUCGGCUAGGGGGUCAUCCCGACUUACCAACCCGAUGCAAACUACGAAUACCGAAGAAUGUUAUCACGGGAGACACACGGCGGGUGCUAACGUCCGUCGUGAAGAGGGAAACAACCCAGACCGCCAGCUAAGGUCCCAAAGUCAUGGUUAAGUGGGAAACGAUGUGGGAAGGCACAGACAGCCAGGAUGUUGGCUUAGAAGCAGCCAUCAUUUAAAGAAAGCGUAAUAGCUCACUGGUCGAGUCGGCCUGCGCGGAAGAUGUAACGGGGCUAAACCAUGCACCGAAGCUGCGGCAGCGACACUAUGUGUUGUUGGGUAGGGGAGCGUUCUGUAAGCCUGCGAAGGUGACCUGUGAGGGUUGCUGGAGGUAUCAGAAGUGCGAAUGCUGACAUAAGUAACGAUAAAGCGGGUGAAAAGCCCGCUCGCCGGAAGACCAAGGGUUCCUGUCCAACGUUAAUCGGGGCAGGGUGAGUCGACCCCUAAGGCGAGGCCGAAAGGCGUAGUCGAUGGGAAACAGGUUAAUAUUCCUGUACUUGGUGUUACUGCGAAGGGGGGACGGAGAAGGCUAUGUUAGCCGGGCGACGGUUGUCCCGGUUUAAGCAUGUAGGCUGGUUGUCCAGGCAAAUCCGGAUAAUCAAGGCUGAGGUGUGAUGACGAGGCACUACGGUGCUGAAGUAACAAAUGCCCUGCUUCCAGGAAAAGCCUCUAAGCAUCAGGUAACAUCAAAUCGUACCCCAAACCGACACAGGUGGUCAGGUAGAGAAUACCAAGGCGCUUGAGAGAACUCGGGUGAAGGAACUAGGCAAAAUGGUGCCGUAACUUCGGGAGAAGGCACGCUGGUGUGUAGGUGAAGUCCCUGCGGAUGGAGCUGAGACCAGUCGAAGAUACCAGCUGGCUGCAACUGUUUAUUAAAAACACAGCACUGUGCAAACACGAAAGUGGACGUAUACGGUGUGACGCCUGCCCGGUGCCGGAAGGUUAAUUGAUGGGGUUAUCCGUAAGGAGAAGCUCUUGAUCGAAGCCCCGGUAAACGGCGGCCGUAACUAUAACGGUCCUAAGGUAGCGAAAUUCCUUGUCGGGUAAGUUCCGACCUGCACGAAUGGCGUAAUGAUGGCCAGGCUGUCUCCACCCGAGACUCAGUGAAAUUGAACUCGCUGUGAAGAUGCAGUGUACCCGCGGCAAGACGGAAAGACCCCGUGAACCUUUACUAUAGCUUGACACUGAACAUUGAGCCUUGAUGUGUAGGAUAGGUGGGAGGCUUUGAAGCGUGGACGCCAGUCUGCGUGGAGCCAACCUUGAAAUACCACCCUUUAAUGUUUGAUGUUCUAACGUUGGCCCCUGACCGGGGUUGCGGACAGUGUCUGGUGGGUAGUUUGACUGGGGCGGUCUCCUCCCAAAGCGUAACGGAGGAGCACGAAGGUUAGCUAAUCCUGGUCGGACAUCAGGAGGUUAGUGCAAUGGCAUAAGCUAGCUUGACUGCGAGCGUGACGGCGCGAGCAGGUGCGAAAGCAGGUCAUAGUGAUCCGGUGGUUCUGAAUGGAAGGGCCAUCGCUCAACGGAUAAAAGGUACUCCGGGGAUAACAGGCUGAUACCGCCCAAGAGUUCAUAUCGACGGCGGUGUUUGGCACCUCGAUGUCGGCUCAUCACAUCCUGGGGCUGAAGUAGGUCCCAAGGGUAUGGCUGUUCGCCAUUUAAAGUGGUACGCGAGCUGGGUUUAGAACGUCGUGAGACAGUUCGGUCCCUAUCUGCCGUGGGCGCUGGAGAAUUGAGGGGGGCUGCUCCUAGUACGAGAGGACCGGAGUGGACGCAUCACUGGUGUUCGGGUUGUCAUGCCAAUGGCACUGCCCGGUAGCUAAAUGCGGAAGAGAUAAGUGCUGAAAGCAUCUAAGCACGAAACUUGCCCCGAGAUGAGUUCUCCCUGAGACUUUAAGUCUCCUGAAGGAACGUUAAAGACGAUGACGUUGAUAGGCCGGGUGUGUAAGCGCAGCGAUGCGUUGAGCUAACCGGUACUAAUGAACCGUGAGGCUUAACCUUACAACGCCGAAG